GUGCCAGCAGCCGCGGUAAUACGAAGGUCCCAAGCGUUAUCCGGAUUUAUUGGGUUUAAAGGGUGCGUAGGCGGGCUAUUAAGUCAGUGGUGAAAUCUCCAUGCCUAACAUGGAAACAGCCAUUGAUACUGAUGGCCUUGAGUACAUUUGAAGUGGGCGGAAUGUGUCAUGUAGCGGUGAAAUGCUUAGAUAUGACACAGAACACCGAUUGCGUAGGCAGCUCACUAAUCUGUAACUGACGCUGAGGCACGAAAGCGUGGGGAGCGAACAGGAUUAGAUACCCCUGUAGUCC
Molecule: ribosomal RNA, 292 nt
Filed under: uncultured bacterium
Lineage: Bacteria
Description: partial 16S ribosomal RNA
Rfam family: Bacterial small subunit ribosomal RNA
Source: RNAcentral